GCGAAAGCCGUGAAUUUUUUUUCCUCAGUUAGUUCUGGAAAGUGAGAACUGGGACUGACAAUAUGAACGCCGAGUGGCCGCGCCUAAGGCAUCUGCAGUGACUUACACAAACGAUAUAAACGUGAAUGUGAAUGUAAAGAGUCAAGUCGCGUUCGCUAUUAUAAUACUCACCUUUACAAACGUGCCUUCUGGGGCCUCACGAAGAGAGGAGCAUUAAAAGAGGAGAGGACUGAGGAGCGAAGAACGAAGAGAACUGAACGGUUUGAAAUAACAGGUGGGGGGCCCGAAAGCCACAUCGCUGCAUGACCGCACCGGCUGGUAUGCGGUGAACAGCGAUUCUCAUUCAGCCACUGUACAAAUAAAGAAGCCAAUUCAAAAUAUCGGAUUACGCAAGACCAUAUACGCUGUAUUAGAGAACGAACGAUAAUUUGGUUUUUCUUCCAUUGUCAAUUAAGCAUGUCAAUGUCUACGAUAUAGCUGUAAUUUUAAUUGCUAAAUAUACAGUAAUCGUUCGACUUAUACCCUGAUAUAACUGGACACCGAAAAGGAGAAAGUUGCGAGCAUGAACGGUUUCCAAAAACGGUUAGAGAUCGUUUUGUGGUUGAAUAUUUAAAGUCUUAUCUCCAAUCAAACACGGGAAAUCCUAAACCAAAACUAAACCAAUAACUGGACGAUUAAUUACACUGGAAACCUCCCACCCAGUUCUAACAUCUGAGUCAAGACACAGUAGCUGCAGUCAUCACUAACGCAAGAGACAAUGAAUCAUACUAUAAUUGUCAAUUAACCGGAUAACGCGUGCUUCACAUUAUAAUUCAACCUUUGAACUUUGAACUUUUUAAAGUUUGCCCUUAGAUGAUCCCGGAUCGGGUUUCCUAUUGGCAUCACUUGAACCUAUGUUACAUCGAUUUAAUUAUCAAGGAAUCUACCAACAAUCAAGGUAAACAAAUCGAUGGGGGUGGAAUAUUGAUAGUCAGUAUACUACAGGUAUUACAUGUGUACACAAUACGUUGAGAAAGAUACGAGGAAA
Athalia rosae (coleseed sawfly) is the source of this 1027-nucleotide long non-coding RNA. RefSeq lists it as uncharacterized. The transcript has 4 exons. Lineage: Eukaryota; Metazoa; Arthropoda; Insecta; Hymenoptera; Athaliidae. The record is from RefSeq and is a predicted model, not a curated record.